This 253-nucleotide ribosomal RNA is filed under the name uncultured bacterium. RNAcentral describes it as "partial 16S ribosomal RNA". It matches the Rfam family "Bacterial small subunit ribosomal RNA", at positions 524 to 776 of the family's 1533-position model. The record is from RNAcentral.
GACGAACCGGACGAACGUUAUUCGGAAUUACUGGGCUUAAAGAGUGCGUAGGCGGCCUGGCAGGUUGGGUGUGAAAUCCCUCGUCUCAACCGAGGAACUGCGCUCAAAACCGCCAGGCUUGAGGAAGACAGGGGUGAGCGGAACUCACGGUGGAGCGGUGAAAUGCGUUGAUAUCGUGAGGAACACCGGUGGCGAAGGCGGCUCACUGGGUCUUAUCUAACGCUGAGGCACGAAAGCUAGGGGAGCGAACGGG